AGCUGGCAUGGCAUGCUGGGCUGGGGUGUUCGCCACCCCACUUGUCAGAGGGAUUUUCUGAGGGAGGAGGGAGUGGGGAAGAUUUCAAUGGACACAAUCCUAAUGGAGGAACCGUGCGGAAGUUCCGGGAGAGCGAAGCCCCUCACGCGGCAAAGGCCAGCAGGCCAGAUGCUUUCCAGCUGAGCUGCGCAAAUUCCACAUUUAUUGAGGGCAGCCAUGUGUUCAGAUGAAAGACCUCAUUCCCCAGCCUCCCAGCAGGUAGAAGCGGCCGCCAAGGUGUUAUGCGUGACUUCAGGAAGGCUGUUUAGGGGAUGCUUUGUCCUCUGCUCCUCUGGGCUGCAAACUAGUCCAGUGUGGGCAUGAGACGACCUUGAGUGUGGACAUGAGACGACCUUGAGCGUGGAAGCCUGCCCCACCGGGGAUUCUCGUCUUGCCUUCUCUGCUUCAUGUGGGGAUUUGGCCAGAAACCAUUUAACAGAAAGCACUUUGGCACCCCACCAAAGGGGUAAUGGAUGGCUGAUCGCGUGUCUGCCUGCACUGCCUCUAUCGCCUCUUCUGGUAACAGCUUCUCAGUUUCCCUUUAGGAGUCCACUUCCGUCUCUGAGCCUGUGUCUGAGGGGCCGGCUCCCCCCAGCCUCCCUCCCUCUGGGGCAGUACGUGACCCAAGCUGGGCCGAUCCCUUUGGCCGUGGUCAUUGGCUCAGGGACAGGCCUGGGUUCCAAGGGACAGGACGAGCCUCCUUCCCAGGGCUGGGUCUGGAGAAGCACGUUCCCCGCUGGGACUGCUGGGCGAGGACAUCGUAGGCUCCGCGGGGGGCAAGGAGCAGGAAAGCAGGCGGAGGCAGAGAGCCCCGGAGACGGAGACCAUCUGAGCUCUCGAAGCGACUCCUGCCCUGGCCCUGACUUCCAGCCAGCGACUCCCCUCACCCUUGGGAGCCCAACUUUUUAACCCAGCCAACCUCUGUUAUUACUGUAAUAUAAAAAGAGGUGUUUAUUGAAAUUUUAUAUUGUUCUGUAUUAAUUAUGUAUACAGAUUAGGUACAUGCUUUAUGUAUUAAAGAUUUUUCUCAUUUGUAAAUGCUAUUAUUUAAACAAAACAAUGAUAGAACCAGUUAAAAGAGGCAACUAGUAGUAAUGAAUAGCAGGAUCACUUGAACAAUGUGUGAGAAAAAUAUGACAAUAUUUGUAUAGUGUCUCUUUCUGUCCUCUGAUACACGACUUAACUCUUCUUUAAACUCUAUCAGGUAUUGAAAUUCUGUAGGCUAUAUUAUCAUAUAUUCUUGGUAUAGUUAAAAGUAAAACUUUUUAAAAGGAGUAUUUAAAAUACAAUAGGACAAAUUAAACAGAUUGUGCCAGUUUGAAUAUAUUGUGUCCCCCAAACACC
This is a long non-coding RNA of Choloepus didactylus (southern two-toed sloth), 1383 nucleotides long. RefSeq lists it as uncharacterized. The transcript is spliced from 3 exons. Lineage: Eukaryota; Metazoa; Chordata; Mammalia; Pilosa; Megalonychidae. The record is from RefSeq and is a predicted model, not a curated record.